UACGUAGGGGCCUAGCGUUGUCCGGAUUUAUUGGGCGUAAAGAGCUCGUAGGCGGCUUGUCGCGUCGGCUGUGAAAACCUGGGGCUCAACCCCGGGCCUGCAGUCGAUACGGGCAGGCUAGAGUCCGGCAGGGGAGACUGGAAUUCCUGGUGUAGCGGUGGAAUGCGCAGAUAUCAGGAGGAACACCGAUGGCGAAGGCAGAUCUCUGGGCCGUAACUGACGCUGAGGAGCGAAAGCAUGGGGAGCGAACAGG
This 253-nucleotide ribosomal RNA is filed under the name uncultured bacterium. Its description in RNAcentral is "partial 16S ribosomal RNA". It matches the Rfam family "Bacterial small subunit ribosomal RNA", at positions 524 to 776 of the family's 1533-position model. The record is from RNAcentral.